This 327-nucleotide unclassified non-coding RNA is filed under the name plant metagenome. RNAcentral describes it as "partial contains 5.8S ribosomal RNA, internal transcribed spacer 2, and large subunit ribosomal RNA". The stretch from base 1 to 105 matches the Rfam family "5.8S ribosomal RNA", at positions 50 to 154 of the family's 154-position model. The record is from RNAcentral.
GAAAUGCGAUAAGUAAUGUGAAUUGCAGAAUUCAGUGAAUCAUCGAAUCUUUGAACGCACAUUGCGCCCUUUGGUAUUCCGAAGGGCACACCUGUUCGAGCGUCAUUACACCAAUCAAGUCUUACUUGGUAUUGGGCUCUUUUGUCCCUAACUUUUAGGGACAGGCCUUAAAGACAUUGGCGGCAUAGUCCGGCUUCGAGCGUAGCAAAAACAUCGCUUUUGGAGUUUUCUGGAUUAUUGUUCCUUGUCCAUUAAAAUAGGGUAGAAAUACCCGUUUUUUCUUAAGGUUGACCUCGGAUCAGGUGGGGAUACCCGCUGAACUUAAGC